GACGAACGCUGGCGGCGUGCCUAACACAUGCAAGUCGAGCGAGGUUGCGGAUGGGUGCUUGCACCCUGAAGCUACCUAGCGGCGGACGGGUGAGUUAACGCGUGAGUAACCUGCCUUAUACAGGGGGAUAACAACGAGAAAUCGUUGCUAAUACCGCAUAAGACCACGGUAUCGCAUGGUACAGGGGUAAAAGGAGCAAUCCGGUAUAAGAUGGACUCGCGUCCCAUUAGCUAGUUGGUGAGAUAACAGCCCACCAAGGCAACGAUGGGUAGCCGACCUGAGAGGGUGAUCGGCCACACUGGGACUGAGACACGGCCCAGACUCCUACGGGAGGCAGCAGUGGGGAAUCUUAGGCAAUGGACGAAAGUCUGACCUAGCGACGCCGCGUGAGGGAAGAAGGCCUUCGGGUUGUAAACCUCUGUCAUGGGGGAAGAAGUAAGUGACGGUACCCCAAGAGGAAGCCCCUGCUAACUACGUG
Molecule: ribosomal RNA, 478 nt
Filed under: uncultured bacterium
Lineage: Bacteria
Description: bacterial SSU rRNA
Rfam family: Bacterial small subunit ribosomal RNA
Source: RNAcentral